This 253-nucleotide ribosomal RNA is filed under the name uncultured bacterium. Its description in RNAcentral is "partial 16S ribosomal RNA". It matches the Rfam family "Bacterial small subunit ribosomal RNA", at positions 524 to 776 of the family's 1533-position model. The record is from RNAcentral.
UACGUAGGGACCGAGCGUUGUCCGGAUUCAUUGGGCGUAAAGAGCUCGUAGGCGGCCACUCAAGUCGAAUGUGAAACCUCGAGGCUUAACCUCGAGCCUGCAUUCGAUACUGGGCGGCUAGAGUCUGGUAGGGGGAUCUGGAAUUCCUGGUGUAGCGGUGAAAUGCGCAGAUAUCAGGAGGAACACCGGUGGCGAAGGCGGUUCUCUGGGCCUGUACUGACGCUGAGGAACGAAAGCGUGGGGAGCGAACAGG